UGUGGCUCAGUUGGUUGAGUACUUGUCUGGCAGGCAGGGGGCCCUGGGUUCAAUCCCCAGCA
RNAcentral lists this transfer RNA (62 nucleotides) under Neotoma lepida (desert woodrat). It matches the Rfam family "tRNA", at positions 6 to 65 of the family's 71-position model. From Rfam's summary of the family: Transfer RNA (tRNA) molecules are approximately 80 nucleotides in length. Their secondary structure includes four short double-helical elements and three loops (D, anti-codon, and T loops). Further hydrogen bonds mediate the characteristic L-shaped molecular structure. tRNAs have two regions of fundamental functional importance: the anti-codon, which is responsible for specific mRNA codon recognition, and the 3' end, to which the tRNAs corresponding amino acid is attached (by aminoacyl-tRNA synthetases). tRNAs cope with the degeneracy of the genetic code in two manners: having more than one tRNA (with a specific anti-codon) for a particular amino acid; and 'wobble' base-pairing, i.e. permitting non-standard base-pairing at the 3rd anti-codon position. Lineage: Eukaryota; Metazoa; Chordata; Mammalia; Rodentia; Cricetidae. The record is from Rfam by way of RNAcentral.